Long non-coding RNA from Parambassis ranga (Indian glassy fish), 1963 nucleotides. Lineage: Eukaryota; Metazoa; Chordata; Actinopteri; Ambassidae. The record is from Ensembl.
CACUGUUACAAAGAGUGAGUGCAAGAGAUAAAGUGUGUGAUUCACACACAGCACAGACCUUGACCCACACUCCUGCAUGAUCAUGAAUAGAACUUGUGCACCAGAUAAUUACACAGACUGUUCUCCCUCCAGCUCCUCUGCAGGUCUGGCUGCAGGGCUUACAGUCUUCUUUCUGCUGCUCGUCAUAGCUGGUGUGGUUGUUUACAUAUACCGUGGUAAAAUCAGGGAUAUGUUACCCUUUGGACAAAGGAGUAACAGUGGAAAGGAGGACUGUACAGAGAGCCCACAGGAAGAGCCCCAUCAGUACAGCUGCAUGAUCAGAGAGCAGCCAGCAGGACAAAGUCCAAUCUAUGAAAACCUGACGACUCAAACGGCUCGCCACAGCCCGCAUCCUGUAAAGCAGAGCAGGCCACCUGUUGAACCUGAAGAGGACCCGUACCUGCAGUGUGAUUCACUAGAUGAUGGGAUAUACUACAAUGACCCAACACAUAACUCCAACUACCCAGACUUACAAGAAGAAGACGUGUAUAUUGUGCCCGAUUCAUAACAGGAUGCAUCUUUAUCAAGUCAUUUUCCUUAUGGACCACAGUCUUUGUCACACAAUUUUGAAAGCCAUCAAAGGCAGGUAUUUACUGAUUAGAUUAGAUUGUUUUAUGGUGUUCUCUUGAUACAUCUCAAAUGACUGAUGAGUCAUUUCAGUUUUGACCUUUAGAGAGGAGAAGCGUGGGCAGUGUGUCCAAAGCAUAACUUUUUCUAAGACAUUGUAAAGUCAAAAAGCAGUAUAUAAGUACACACAAAUACACUCUAUAUUAUGCACACACACACACACACACAGGCAGGCCCAGUAUUCGUUAUGUUUUCUGGAUGUUUUUGAGCUACUAUUUAUGGAAGUGAUAAACUUUUAUCAUUAGUGCAUUAUGGGUGAGUUAUGGUUACAGUUAUGGUCAUGGUUAUUUUACUAAGUUGUGAAAUUAUAUUUUGCUCUCUAUGCUCACAAUAAAGUGUUCUGUAAAUGUGUUUAUUGUUAUUAUAGGUAAUGAUUUAAUGUGACAAUGCAGAUGAGGAAAAACAACAAGAACAAUAACGUUCUUACUGCAUUCAAAUUUAUUGUUCUGUCUCAUAUUUAAAAAUGCAUGAUUAUUAGUUUGAACAAACAAAAAUAAAAGUGCCUUGAAAAAAUGCACAGGUCAGCACCACGUUAAAAAUGUGUGGGCGUCAGUUUUUUUUUUUGCAUACAAAGCACUCAGAGAGGAUUUGAAAAUCUAUCUGACUUUAUAACAGAUCGAUCCCACAUCCGUCACCGAACUGUUCACAAGUCUGAUACUGUAUGUGAGUAAUGACAAGAAUGUGCUUUGACAAGAUGCUUUUUAACAUGUUAUCAUGAAAUUUGUGUCAGCUGUAGGUUUCCAGUAAAGCUACGUGAGGAUAAAAAGAGAAAGAGAAAUACCAGAGGCUAAUGAGCUCAUAAAAUCUAAGAUUACACACAGAGGAGUGUGAUAAACACCACCGCUCUCUGUAUACUUUGGGUGGUACUGCGACUCAGGACCUUUCAGAACCUGAAGAUUGAAGACCUUUCCAUUCACACACUGUUGUGCAAUAACCGAAGAUGUCAUCCCUGAAACAAAGAGUAACAGGGAAAAAAAUGAAUAAGCAUUUCCUACGCAGAGGCCUGAAUUUACCGACAGGAAAGUUAAUCAAUCACCUAUUUAUUAAUGUAGCCAGUUACUGGGCUCCACCCUACGCUUCACCCCAUUUAGAUUUUAUUAAUUGCAAAAUAAUUUGUGUGCUCGUGCAUAAGUGACUUUUACUAAUAAACUCUCUGUUAAUACUUCAGAUUGUUCACGUUUUUGUAUUUAAUGUUUGUUCUUUUGGCUUUUUAAAUGUCAGCUAUAGUCUAUUGUUUUUGUAAAUAUGCUUGUUAUGAGAAUAUCUCACAUCUCUCUGUUCACUCACUUCUCUGUGC